AAUUGGACAAAGUACUAAUGC
This 21-nucleotide unclassified non-coding RNA is filed under the name Dictyostelium discoideum. Lineage: Eukaryota; Evosea; Eumycetozoa; Dictyosteliales; Dictyosteliaceae. The record is from RNAcentral.